RNAcentral lists this unclassified non-coding RNA (602 nucleotides) under Hevea brasiliensis (rubber tree). Lineage: Eukaryota; Viridiplantae; Streptophyta; Magnoliopsida; Malpighiales; Euphorbiaceae. The record is from RNAcentral.
UUAAAAAAGGUUUGAUUGAAAUCCAAGAUAGUAUUAGGAAAAGAAGAAAUGGCAGCAAUGAACUCAAGUGUAUUGGCUUGCAGCUAUGCUAUAUCAGGCAUGAGUUCAUCUGAACUCACAUCAAAACAUACUGUUACUACUAUGUCUUCCCCUUCACUUCAAAAAUUGCCACUCAUCAUUAAGGCUCAACAACAAUCCAGUUCCAACAUAUCUGCUGGAAGAAGAGUUGCUCUGCUUGGCCUUGCUGCUGCACUUUUCACAUCUGCCUCUUCUGCUAAUGCUGGUGUUAUCGACGAAUAUCUUGAGAAAAGCCAAGCCAACAAGGAAUUGAAUGACAAGAAGAGGUUGGCUACAAGUGGUGCGAAUUUCGCAAGGGCGUAUACUGUUCAGUUUGGAACCUGCAAGUUCCCUGAGAACUUUACAGGAUGCCAAGACCUUGCAAAACAAAAGAAAGUGCCAUUUAUAAGUGACGAUUUGGCGUUGGAGUGUGAAGGCAAGGACAAAUACAAGUGUGGUUCAAAUGUGUUCUGGAAAUGGUGAAGCUUAGCUUGAAGAAAUGUAUUAAUCGUUUCCCAAAAUGUAUCUAUUGUGACAAUGAGAAG